GAUAGCAUGGUGGGGAGAGACACGGAAAAGCACGAGUGAAAUGGGACGGUAGUGGAGGAAUGGCAAGAGGAAACGUGAGGACAGGAGAGACAGAGGGCAGAGACUGUUGGUGCGCCAGAAAGAAAAGAAUAAAAAAAAAACUAAAAGGAUAGAGAGAGGAGAGAUACGGAGAGUGCGCAUAAGGCGCGGGGAAAAGGGGAAAAAGAAAAGGGGAAAUAGGAGAUAGAAACCGGGGAGGAGAAGCAGAAACGGAGGGGGCAGCGGGAGAGACAGGUGGAAGGAUGGAGGGCUGCCUUGGGCAGCGUGAGAGAGAGGAGAAGAGUGAGAAGAGCACGUACUGACUGGAGAGAAGACAGAGAAGGCGGGAGAGAGAGAAGACAGGGACUAGCGCAGCAGAGCACAUCAGCAGGUGCAGGGAAGUCAGGAGCUAGGCAGAUCUUCUUUUCUUGGUUUUAUCUUCUCAAACUCAUGUUUUACUUUUGGUUUAAUUUGAUAAUAAUGUGUAACUAAAUUUAUUUUGGCUAGAGGUUAAUUCAAAGCCAUGAAUAUAUUUGUAAUAUGAAUUGAUUACCUUCAGUUGUGAAUUCUGAGUUGUGAUUUAAUUUGCUUAACUGCUUGAUUGAUAACUUAUUUUUGUAUGUCGAUUAAGAAUGCAUACUUAAUUUACAUGCAUGAAUUUGAUGCUAGAAUAUAAGUGAAUUUCACCUAAUCGUUAUGAACUUAUAUUCACAAGUAGUGAAGGUUGUUAUCUACAAUCGUGUUAAGUGAAUUCUAGGCUGGAUUAACAUGCGUAUUCCAUAGUUAUGAAUGCCUAGUCAAUGUUUAUGAUUUCCG
RNAcentral lists this long non-coding RNA (834 nucleotides) under Malus domestica (apple). Its description in RNAcentral is "long non-coding RNA (MDOM_LNC014866)". Lineage: Eukaryota; Viridiplantae; Streptophyta; Magnoliopsida; Rosales; Rosaceae. The record is from RNAcentral.